Molecule: long non-coding RNA, 2434 nt
Filed under: Ananas comosus (pineapple)
Lineage: Eukaryota; Viridiplantae; Streptophyta; Magnoliopsida; Poales; Bromeliaceae
Description: long non-coding RNA (ACOM_LNC001255)
Source: RNAcentral
UCUUUUUCUAUCCCCCACUUAGUUAUUAUUGUACCUCUUACACACCGCCCAUUUUGAAUCAGUGGAUGGAGAUGUAACAAGGGAAUUUAUUUUGCUUCUAACAAACCCAGUUAUAUAAGUAUACGGCAAUGUCCAAAUAAGCAUAAAAAAAAAACUAGGAAAAUAAAAUAAAAUACUGUUAAAUAUAAAAAUAUUUAAACAUUAUUUUUUAUAACCUUAAGUUUGUAUAGUGUCAUGGUUGUUUUAUAUUCUUUAAUAUAGUGUCAAAGCAAGAAGUUCUGAGUUCAAGUCAAAUAUUUAAUUUUUUACCCGAGAACAGUAGUUCUCGGUUAUCUAUAAUAACCGGUUAUAACUAUCCCCACCAACACCUCUAUUUUCUAUACAAAACUACCUAAUAUUUUUCUUAUUCCAUAUUAUCUAUCCAAACGCUAUUUUUCUUAUCCCCGGGAACAACUCAAUUUUCAUCCAAACACUAUUUUUCUUAUCCCCAUACUUGUACCUAUCCCUGUAAUAGCUAGUUCUUGCUUAUUCCCGAAUCAAACGGUACGUAUAAGCUUUCAGGUAUCGUUUGGUUCGGGGAUAAGAAAAAAGUGGCUAUUCCAGGGAUAGGUAUAAAUUGAGGUAUAAGCGAGGAUUAGAUCAAUUUUGCGUUUGGAUAAAAAUUGGGUUAUUCCUGAAAUAAAAAAAAUAGCGUUUGGUUAGGUAAGAUGGAAUAAGAAAGAUAAUGAAUUUCGUAAAUAAAAAAUAAUGAUAUUAUCCACUUAUUAUAUUUGAAUUUGAAUUUUUAAAUUUUUUAAUUUAUAUUUCUAAAUUUAAAAUUUUAACUUUGAAAUUUAAAAUCUCAAAUUUUAAAUUCAAAAUUUUAAAUUUUAAAUUUCAAACUUUAAAUUUAAGAUCAUAUUUAAUUUUAAAAAAAUAUAAAAUAUCAAAUUUUAAAUUUCAAAAAUUUAAAAUAUCAAAAUUUAAAUUUAAAAUUUAAAAUUUAAAAUUUAAAUUUUAAACUUUAAUUUUGAGAUUAUAAAUUAUAAAUUUUAAAAAUUUAAAUUUUUAAUUUUUAAAAUUUUAAAAUAAGAAUAGUGGUGGGAACAAUUAAUAAAAAUAAUUUAUUAUAAUAAAUUUAUAAAUUUUUUAAAAAUUCUAGUUAAAUUUAAAUUUAAUAAAAAGAAUUUAUUAUAAUAUUUAAAUAUAAUUUAUUAUAAAUUUUAUUAUAAUAUUUAAAUAUAAAUAAUAUGUAUUAAUAUAGUACAAUUAAUAAUUUUAUAAUAAAAAUAAUGUAUUAUAAUAUAUAACAUAUUAUAUUUAUAUAAUUUAGUUUAAUUCAAUUUAUAAGUUUAAUUAAGUUUGAAAUUAAAUAUUGGAAUAGCACUAUUCCACCAAAAUGGUGGAAUAGCAAAUUCCUUGCUAUUCCGGGAUAAUCGAGAAUAGCAAGGUUUGACCGGGAUAAAAUAUCCCGGCCAAAUUUCACCUCGUUUGGUGGAAUAGCGGGGAUAACUUUCGUUAUCCCCGCUUAUCCCGCGAUCCAAACAGGGCCUCAAAGUAUAACGAUUAUUUCAUAUUUUUAACAAAUAACCACACAAAUUUAUCACCGUUAGCUAUUUCGCAAAUAGGUGCCAGAAACUUUCAAUUUAUAAAGACCCUCUAACUUAUAAAAUAAUUUAAUGUCUCUCUCCUUAAUUAAUUGAAAUUGCUAAUUAUACAACCAUUUGGAUCUUAUAUUAUUUGCAUAUUUUAUUAUAGAAAACUUCGAAGCAAAAAAAAAAAAAAUUCUUUCAUACUGAUGUUUAUGUCAAGCAUCUGUAAGAUACAUUCCGACAUUUUAAAGUGUCAAAAUUUUGAAAAAUCUUGACAUUUUAAAGCGUUGAAAAAUUAGAAUUGUUGGAAAUAUUAGGGUAGCGAAAACUUACAAACUGGAUAGCCAAGGUAUCCAGGAACCGGAAUCGGAUCGGAUUGCUUGUUUUACUAGCCUGCUUGGAUUGUCUUGAUCUAGAUUCUUCUAGAUCUCCCACGUUUCUCGCCUUCUCUUACGCGUACGCUUUGCGUCACGGAUCGGAUGCGUCAGACACGGAUUAGAUGCGAUGGAUGCCGAUCGAAGAGGGCUACCAGAGUCUUCUUCUAUGUCCACACUCCAAAACCCCCGAAACGUAGAUAGAAUCCCAAAGAGUAAGAAGUGAGAGAAGAAGUAAGAUUUAUCGGGAAUUGUUUUGAAUUAGAUCGUAUUUGAUCGUCUAUUACGGGAGAGAAAAGGGGUCGUAUUUAUAGAAUAACAAAACUCCUAAAAUAUCCUGAAUCUCACAAAGAGAGUAGGAUAAGGAUUAUGAUUGGGAUAUCUAUAAUAGAUAUCCACUAGGAGAUACGUUUCUUAACUAAUAAGAACAUAUAAUUUAUUCUUAUCCUAAACUUAUUAGGAUAAAUCCCAAUCCACAUCUUAUGUGGA